GNUCAUUACUGAGUUNACCGCUCUNAACCCUUUGUGNAAUACCUAAACCGUUGCUUCGGCGGGCGGGCGGCGACCCCGCCCCCCCGGCGCCGUCAGGCGCGCCCGCCGGAGGAUAACCAAACUCUGAUGCAACGACGUCUCUUCUGAGUGGCACAAGCAAAUAAUCAAAACUUUUAACAACGGAUCUCUUGGUUCUGGCAUCGAUGAAGAACGCAGCGAAAUGCGAUAAGUAAUGUGAAUUGCAGAAUUCAGUGAAUCAUCGAAUCUUUGAACGCACAUUGCGCCCGCCAGCAUUCUGGCGGGCAUGCCUGUUCGAGCGUCAUUUCAACCCUCAAGCCCUGCUUGGCGUUGGGGCCCUACGGUUGGCGUAGGCCCUCAAAGACAGUGGCGGACCCUCCCGGAGCCUCCUUUGCGUAGUAACACAAACGCCUCGCACUGGGACCCGGAGGGACUUCCGGCCGUAAAACCCCCCAAAUUCUUUAAAGGUUGACCUCGGAUCAGGUAGGAAUACCCGCUGAACUUAAGCAUAUCAAUAAGNNGGAGGAA
RNAcentral lists this unclassified non-coding RNA (546 nucleotides) under Colletotrichum sp. BS4. RNAcentral's name for it is "sequence contains ITS1, 5.8S rRNA gene and ITS2". The stretch from base 169 to 322 matches the Rfam family "5.8S ribosomal RNA". The record is from RNAcentral. Lineage: Eukaryota; Fungi; Ascomycota; Sordariomycetes; Glomerellales; Glomerellaceae.